This is a non-coding RNA of Oryctolagus cuniculus (rabbit), 2999 nucleotides long. The record is from RefSeq and is a predicted model, not a curated record. Lineage: Eukaryota; Metazoa; Chordata; Mammalia; Lagomorpha; Leporidae.
CUUUGAAACAAUAUAAAAACCCCAAAAUUAAGCAUUGGAAGACACUGAGAAGCAGAUGGACUACUUAGAGAUCUCAGAACUUUAUGGAAAACUGCCCUGGUCUUCUGCCAAUCACCAUACUAGAGUUCUAAAUAAGCCCACUGACAUGAUUUCCCAGUUGCCCAAAUAGGGAAAUGGAAAAAGUCAAUGAGGAAUUGCAAGGCCUUGAUCACUUCAAUACCUGGAUUUUGGUAAAUCAAACAAGUUGUAUGUCCAGUGGAUCCCUAUAUGUCAUCCAAGAACUGUAUAGGAACUUAUUUCUCUUGAAACAACCACUUUUUCCAUGGACAAUGAGCACCAUUAUGUGCUUAUCCACAUGCCAGUCAAAACUUGUGUGCAAAGAAUUCAAAAUGAGUGUAAAUAUAUUCUGUUAGUAUCACUCUCAUUAAAGGAAUGCUAAGGAAAUCUGUUAAGUAGAAAGAUUUAGUAAAAGAUUUCACAAUAUGAUAGUUAUGGUGAAGUUGGUAUUCUAAUACCCAUCAAAAUACGGAAGACAUUCUUCUCAGAUCUGGAAAAAAAUGAUGCUGAAAUUCAUAUGGAGACACAGGAGACCUCGAAUAGCUAAAGCAAUCUUGUACAACAAAAACAAAGCCGGAAGCAUCACAAUACCAGAUUUCAGGACAUACUAUAGGGCAGUUGUUAUCAAAACAGCAUGGUACUGGUACAGAAACAGAUGGAUAGACCAAUGGAACAGAAUAGAAAUACCAGAAAUCAAUCCAAACAUCUACAGCCAACUUAUAUUUGAUCAAGGAUCCAAAACCAAUCCCUGGAGCAAGGACAGUCUAUUCAAUAAAUGGUGCUGGGAAAACUGGAUUUCCAUGUGCAGAAUCAUGAAGCAAGACCCCUACCUUUCACCUUACACAAAAAUCCACUCAACAUGGAUUAAAGACUUAAAUCUACAACCCGACACCAUCAAAUUAUUAGAGAGCAUUGAAAAAACCCUGCAAGAUACAGGUACUGGCAAAGACUUCUUGGAAAAGACCCCAGAAGCACAGGCAGUCAAAGCCAAAAUUAACAUUUGGGAUUGCAUCAAACUGAGAAGUUUCUGUACUGCAAAAGAAACAGUCAGGAAAGUGAAGAGGCAACCAACAGAAUGGGAAAAAAUAUUUGCAAACUAUGCAACAGAUAAAGGGCUGAUAACCAGAAUCUACAAAGAAAUCAAGAAACUCCACAACAUCAAAACAACACACUUAAGAGAUGGGCCAAGGACCUCAAUAGACAUUUUUCAAAAGAGGAAAUCCAAAUGGCCAACAGACACAUGAAAAAAUGUUCAAGAUCACUAGCAAUCAAGGAAAUGUAAAUCAAAACCACAAUGAGGUUUCACCUCACCCCAGUUAGAAUGGCUCACAUACAGAAAUCUACCAACAACAGAUGCUGGAGAGGAUGUGCGGAAAAAGGGACACUAACCCACUGUUGGUGGGAAUACAAACUGGUUAAGCCACUAUGGAAGUCAGUCUGGAGAUUCCUCAGAAACCUGAAUAUAACCCUACCAUUCAACCCAGCCAUACCACUACUUGGAAUUUACCCAAAGGAAAUUAAAUUGGCAAACAAACAAGCUGUCUGCACCUUAAUGUUUAUUGCAGCUCAAUUCACAAGAGCUAAGACCUGGAACCAACCCAAAUGCCCAUCAACAGUAGACUGGAUAAAUUAUGGGACAUGUACUCUAUAGAAUGCUAUACAGCAGUCAAAAACAACGAAACCCAGUCAUUUGCAACAAGAUGAAGGAAUCUGGAAAACACUAUGCUGAGUGAAUUAACCCAGUCCCGAAGGGACAAAUAUCAUAUGUUCUCCCUGAUCAGCGACAACUAACUGAGCACCAAAGGGGAAACCUGUUGAAGUGAAAUGGACACUAUGAGAAACAUGACUUGAUCAGCUCUUGUCCUGACUGUUGAUGUACAAUGUAAUACUUUAUCCAUUUUAGUAUUUUUUUGUUCCAGUACUAUUGGUUGAACUCUGUAAAUAACACACAAUUAUUCUUAGGUGUUGAAAUUUUAACUGAAAAGUAAUCCCUGUUAAAUAUAAGAGUGGGAAUAAGAGAGGGAAGAGAUGUGCAAUUUGGGACAUGCUCAAUCAGACUUACCCCAAAUGGUGGAGUUAGAUACGUGCCAGGGGAUUCCAAUACAAUCCCAUCAAGGUGGCAUAUACCAAUGCCAUCUCACUAGUCCAAGUGACCAAUUUCAGUUCACAAUUGAUUACACUGAUAGGUCUAAAAGUCAAAGGGAUCACACAAAUAAGACUAGUGUCUGCUAAUACUAACUGAUAGAAUCAAAAAGGGAGAGAACGAUCCAUCAUGGAAAGCAGGAUACACAGCAGACUAAUAGAAUGGCAGAUGUCCUAAACAGCACUCUGGCCUCAGAAUCAGCCCUUAUGGCAGUCGGAUAUGGCUGAAAAGCCAAUGAGAGUAUUUUAGGCAUGGAAAGCCAAGACAAUCUGGAAAAAAAAAAAGAAGAAGAAGAAGAAGAAGACCUAAAUGAAAGAUCUUGGCAAGUGAGAUCCCAGUGGAAAGAACGGGGACAUCAAAGAAGGAGGUACCUUUCUCUGAAGGGAGGAGAGAACUUCCACUUUGACUAUGACCCUGUCAGAAUAAGAUCGAAGUCAGUGAACUCAAAAGGCUUCCAUAGCCUUGGCAACUCAUGACUAGAGCCUAGGGAGAUUACUGAUGCCAUAAACAAGAGUGUCAAAUUGUUAACUCAACAACAGGAGUCACUGUGUACCUACUUCUCAUGUGGGAUCUGUCCUUAAUGUGUUGUCCAAUGUGAAGUAAUGCUAUAACUAGUACUGAAACAGUAUUUUACACUUUGUGUUUCUGUGUGGGUGCAAACUGAUGAAAUCUUUACUUAAUAUAUACUAAAUCGAUCUUCUGUAAAUAAAGAUAAUUGAAAAUGAAUCUUGAUGUGAAUGGAAGGGGAGAGGGAGCGGGAGAUGGGAGGGGUGCUAGUGGGAGGGACGUUAUGGUGGGG